ACACCGGAGAGGGAGCCUGAGAAACGGCUACCACAUCCAAGGAUGGCAGCAGGCGCGCAAAUUACCCAAUCCUGACACGGGGAGGUAGUGACAAUAAAUAACAAUACGGGGUUCUUUCGGAUCUCGUAAUUGGAAUGAGUACAAUUUAAAUCUCUUAACGAGGAACAAUUGGAGGGCAAGUCUGGUGCCAGCAGCCGCGGUAAUUCCAGCUCCAAUAGCGUAUAUUAAAGUUGUUGCAGUUAAAAAGCUCGUAGUUGAAUUUCGGGGUUAGUAGGUUGGUCAUGCCUCUGGUAUGUACUGAUCUCACUGAUUCCUCCUUCCUGAUGAACCGUAAUGCCAUUAAUUUGGUGUUGCGGGGAAUUUGGACUGUUACUUUGAAAAAAUUAGAGUGUUUAAAGCAAGCUAACGCUUGAAUACAUUAGCAUGGAAUAAUGAAAUAGGACGUUCGAUCCUAUUUUGUUGGUUUCUAGGAUUGACGUAAUGAUUAAUAGGGAUAGUUGGGGGCAUUAGUAUUCAAUUGUCAGAGGUGAAAUUCUUGGAUUUAUUGAAGACUAACUACUGCGAAAGCAUUUGCCAAGGAUGUUUUCAUUAAUCAAGAACGAAAGUUAGGGGAUCGAAGACGAUCAGAUACCGUCGUAGUCUUAACCAUAAACUAUGCCGACUAGGGAUCGGAUGAUGUUAAUUUUUUAAUGACUCAUUCGGCGCCUUACGGGA
Molecule: ribosomal RNA, 714 nt
Filed under: uncultured fungus
Lineage: Eukaryota; Fungi
Description: SSU rRNA
Rfam family: Eukaryotic small subunit ribosomal RNA
Source: RNAcentral